AGGUAAUACAGGCAAUGUGUUUGUUCUGAGUAGUAGCUCAGGACAAGAAAACAAAUUCUAAACAACGCGCCGGCGCACUCAAAACUAGUGAAAAGAGGCAAUGCUAAAGAAUGCCAUCAAAUCGCCAAUCUGAGCUUUUUGAAGCAGCUUAAUCGUUUAGAAAAGGUCAGUUUUUCAACAUCUAUUCUCGUAUCAAUAUGAUAAGGGAUCGUGAAGAACAUAGAAAGAGCGGAAGCACCCCAGAAACAGAUUGAAACGGCAAAAAAGUUUCCAAUCAUCCCUUAUGUACAUCAGAUGGGGCAUGCGUUAAAAAAAGACAGCCAUGAAAUAUGGUGUACAAGUCGUCUUUUCAGCUAAAAACUCGUUAAACAAGAUUUCCAAUCGCGCCAAUAGACCAAAACAGGCGUCCAAGCUGCCCCGCGUCAAACACACGGGGCAGCUUGUGGCAUGCUCUUUGGGAGUGGUCUACGUUAUUCCACUUUCAUGUGGCAAAAAGUACUUUGGGCAGACGGGACAUUGCCUUAACAUCCACCUUAGGGAGCACCAAGGUGCGGCCAGGAUAGCAACAGGCUCGCAUAUGGGCACGUAUUGUUGAAAUUGCCCAUGCAAAUCUUGUUCGAAAAAAAAAAUUGAAAUAUUAUAAAAAAUAGAAAUCAAAUCAACCACGAAAUUAUGGAAACUACUUCAUGCAUGUCAACUAAACCGCAUGCAUUAGUCAGACUUCUAUCUUUCAGCAUACUAAGGAAACGGAGUUUUUGAAUGGCAAGAUAGGCUGACACUCUUUCACUAGUUGUACACGGUACUUCACAUGAUCGUAUUCUCUGUAUAUUUAAUAACUUUUGUGAAAAAGUAAUCUAGUUGUUAGUCUGCACUCGUAUCGUGCACUUCCUUUUGCCUUUUGUCUGUGUUGCGCUGUCCACGCUUUGGAAUAUGUUCAGUCACCCACUCGCCCAGCUUGCUGUGUUAAUACAAUCUUCAACCUGAAAAUGAGAAGAGUACUGUUGUGUUAGUAUUGUUUUACAACACUUGGUCGGAUUUGCAGAGGGAUACAAUAUUUUAAUUAUUACCUUAACUUUGUAUAUUACGUGAUAAUAGCUCGAUGGUGAUGGUGUUCUUUUUCUGCACUGCCUUACUUUUUGGCGCAUUGUUCACACCUGCCGCAUUAAACUAGUUCUUUACACCAAUAUCUUGCGAUGGUUUUGUACUUAUUAAGUGUCUUAAUUCCUAUGCUAUUUACGUUUUCCUUGGUUCUGGUUCCCAGGUUACGGGACCUAUACCCAUUAUCUCGAGCUGCCUAAGCUGGGGCCGCGGCUGGGACUUCUGGACCGUGGUCCUGGUCGUUGCGACUGUAAUCAAGGCUAUCAACACCCAUCGCAUCUGCAAUUUACUGGUGGAGCGAUCCAGAGAAGUUGAAAGCAAUAUGAGGCCAAACUAUCGAUCCGAAUGUUUUUACUUGAGGUUUUCAUUUUUGCGGACUUAUGCCUGGCAGGGCUGCCUUACUUUAACGCGGAAGAGUACUUGCCAGCGCAUGCCGCAUUAUUACUAUGCUACUUAAUUUUGUCGUGCUACGCCCAGCACCAGCAGCACAAGCUGAUGCUGCAGAGCAACAAUGGACCCACGGGAGUGUUCACCACAACACGCGAGACGCUUAUCACAUUCAGUGACGGUUUGUCAGACGUUCUCCUUUUAAGUGGAGCACUGAAGAAAGUCUUGGCUGAGUACUUCACCGACAAAUUUUUUUAUAAAUAUUCACCUACAAGUAGUCACCGCGCCCAUUCCUACUAUCUCAAGCUGCCUCAGCUUCUGCCGAGGAUGGGAUCUAUGGACGGCGAUAUUGAUAUUCAGUGGGGCAAUUAAGUGUAUAUACCUAAACCAGCUAGUUAAUUAUUUGAUCGGCCGGACGCCCCACAUUCCAGCAGACCAACGGCACCGAUUCUCAUCGGAAUCGUCAGAGAUGAGGCUCGCCACAGUCGCUGACGCGGCCUUAGCGGCGCUGCCGUAUUACAACACCAAGGACUACACUGUCCCUCACGGCUGCUUCUUGCUGGCGUAUGUUAUCAUCACAUUAGACGUAAUACGUCAACAGAAAAAACUGCUGGAACAAGGACGACCUGUGGUCGCAGCUUGGUACCGACAAAUCUCCUCCGUCCUGGUCUCCGCGAGCGACACAUGCUCCGGCAUGUUGUUACUUAGUGGAGCGGCCAAGGAGCUCAUCGCGAUAUAUAUGACGGAGAGUGAUUUCUACGCGUUUUGCGUAAAGCUAGUACACAUUCUUUUUGUCUGCUCGGAGCUGCUCGUUGCUUUGCUCCACUGCAUCUUCACCAUCACCACAAUGUGGUACCUGGCUUUUUAAGCACUUCACCAGGAACCUAUCCUCCACCAUCCACUGUGCUCCAGUUCUCCCUGUCAUCGACACAACCAUGAACCAUCUCACUUUACAGUCGCUUGUGUUUACUAACUCGCCUGUGUUUACUAACUCGCCUGUGUUUAGAUUAUCCUCGCAAUAGAAGAGAAAGGUGUUCGGCUUUCCGGUUACGUAACUGGUACUUAAGCUUAUGGCUCGUGAAUGUAAUUCCGUACGGCGUAUCUACGGCAUCUGUGGAGCUCACUGUACACGGUGCUGCACUGUUUGCCUUCGGAUACCUUUUUUCUGGAUUACAACUCUUGCCCAUCGUUCAGAGAGCCAAUAUAUAUAUUUUUUUCAAGCUUUUCGCACUCUAUUGUGUUCUUAUGUGGUUUGUGUUCUUUUCUGUA
Molecule: non-coding RNA, 2754 nt
Organism: Dermacentor andersoni
Lineage: Eukaryota; Metazoa; Arthropoda; Arachnida; Ixodida; Ixodidae
Source: RefSeq, a predicted model, not a curated record